UGCCUGGUGGCUCAGUCGGUAGAGCAGUCGCCCGAGGCGGCCGUCGCAGGUUCGAGUCCUGCCCAGGCCU
This 70-nucleotide transfer RNA is filed under the name Pseudomonas sp. PIC25. Its description in RNAcentral is "tRNA-OTHER". It matches the Rfam family "tRNA". From Rfam's summary of the family: Transfer RNA (tRNA) molecules are approximately 80 nucleotides in length. Their secondary structure includes four short double-helical elements and three loops (D, anti-codon, and T loops). Lineage: Bacteria; Pseudomonadati; Pseudomonadota; Gammaproteobacteria; Pseudomonadales; Pseudomonadaceae. The record is from RNAcentral.